Molecule: small nucleolar RNA, 82 nt
Organism: Scomber japonicus (chub mackerel)
Lineage: Eukaryota; Metazoa; Chordata; Actinopteri; Scombriformes; Scombridae
Source: RefSeq, a predicted model, not a curated record
ACUGUCUAUGAUGAUAACCUACUCCCAUUGGUUGAGUUUAACGACCAUGAAAAAACUCACAUGCACUACCAUCUGAGACAAG